AUUGAACGCUGGCGGCAUGCCUUACACAUGCAAGUCGAACGGCAGCACGGGAGCAAUCCUGGUGGCGAGUGGCGAACGGGUGAGUAAUAUAUCGGAACGUGCCCAGUCGUGGGGGAUAACGUAGCGAAAGCUACGCUAAUACCGCAUACGAUCUAUGGAUGAAAGCGGGGGAUCGCAAGACCUCGCGCGAUUGGAGCGGCCGAUAUCAGAUUAGGUAGUUGGUGAGGUAAAGGCUCACCCAAGCCCGACGAUCUGUAGCUGGUCUGAGAGGACGACCAGCCACACUGGGACUGAGACACGGCCCAGACUCCUACGGAGGCAGCAGUGGGAAUUUGGACAAUGGCGCAAGCCUGAUCCAGCAAUGCCGCGUGCAGGAUCGAAGG
This 383-nucleotide ribosomal RNA is filed under the name uncultured bacterium. RNAcentral's name for it is "bacterial SSU rRNA". It matches the Rfam family "Bacterial small subunit ribosomal RNA", at positions 30 to 414 of the family's 1533-position model. The record is from RNAcentral.